GACGAACGCUGGCGGCGCGCUUAACACAUGCAAGUCGAACGGAAAGGCCCUGCUUUUGUGUUGUGCUCGAGUGGCGAACGGGUGAGUAACACGUGAGUAACCUGCCCUUGACUGUGGGAUAACGUCAGGAAACGGGGGCUAAUACCGCAUAGGAGCUUCGGCUGCAUUGUGUGGGUUGGAAAGGUUCUGCGGUUGGGGAUUGAGUCGCGGCUUAUCAGUUUGGUGGUGGGGGAGUGGCUUACCAAGGCUGUGGCGGGUUACCGGCCUGAGGGGGUGGCCGGCCAGCUUGAGAGGGAGAUACGGCCGAGACAGCUACGGGCGGCAGCAGUGGGGAAUAUUGAACAAUGAGCGGAAGCCUGAUGCAGCAAGCCCGCGUGCGGGAUGACAGAAUUCGGGUUGUAAACCGAUUUCGCCUGUGACGAAGCGUAAGAGACGGUACUGGGUAAAGAAGCACCGGCUAACUACGUG
This 468-nucleotide ribosomal RNA is filed under the name uncultured bacterium. RNAcentral describes it as "partial 16S ribosomal RNA". It matches the Rfam family "Bacterial small subunit ribosomal RNA", at positions 28 to 507 of the family's 1533-position model. The record is from RNAcentral.